Molecule: ribosomal RNA, 1427 nt
Filed under: Calamaria septentrionalis (Hong Kong dwarf snake)
Lineage: Eukaryota; Metazoa; Chordata; Lepidosauria; Squamata; Calamariidae
Description: 16S ribosomal RNA
Rfam family: Archaeal large subunit ribosomal RNA (bases 705-1427)
Source: RNAcentral
GCUGACUACAAACACAUCAAACAUCUUUAACCAAUAAACAAAACAUUUGACCAACCUAGUAGAUGUGAUCGAACAGUAAACACUACAGUACCGUAAGGGAAACCCAUUAAGCAACAAACAGCAAAGACUAGCCCUUGUACCUUUCGCAUUAUGGUUUAGCAAGAAAUCAGGACAAGAAGAAUCACAGCCCACACCCCGAAACCAGAUGAGCUACUUUAAAGCAGCCUAACGAGCGCACCCUUCUCUGUAGCAAAAGACGUGGGAAGACUUAAAAGUAGAGGCGAAACACCUACCGAAUCUGGAGAUAGCUGGCUACCCAACAAAUGAAUCUAAGUUCUACUUUAGACCAAAAAUACUAUCUAAUAACCUAAAGACACUCAAUAGGGGUACAGCUCUAUUGAAACAGGAAACAACCUGAACUUGAGAGAAAACACCAAACACAAACCAGUAGGCCUUAAAGCAGCCACCCUAAAAAAUAUCGUUAAAGAAUUAACCACAUUAAUACCAAUAACCACAAAAAACUCCAAAUAAACUAAAGGUAGACUCAUAAUAAUGAGUUCUAUUAUGCUAAAACUAAUAAUAAGACAACCUCUCUAUACAUAACCCCCCACUAACCACGGAUAAACCAUUAGCUGUUAACAGACCAUAAAAGGAAUAAACAACCAAUACACUAACACAAACAAACUGUGACCCCAACACCGGUAUGUUAUAAAGAAAGGUAAACUAUUAUAAAAGGAACUCGGCAAACCAGAAGCCCCAACUGUUUAACAAAAACAUAACCUUUAGCUAAACAAGUAUUAAAGGCAACGCCUGCCCAGUGAAUAUUAAACGGCCGCGGUACCCUAACCGUGCAAAGGUAGCAUAAUCAUUUGUCUACUAAUUAUAGACCUGUAUGAAUGGCAAAAUGAGGGCCCAACUGUCUCUUAUAAUAAACCAAUUAAACUGAUCUCCUAGUAAAAAAGCUAGAAUAACACCAUAAGACCAGAAGACCCUGUGAAACUUAAACUAAACUAUUAAAACAAAUAAUAGCUACUUUCGGUUGGGGCGACCUUGGAAAAAAAAAGAACUUCCAAACACACCAUACACACUGGCCAACAAGCCAUCAAAGACCCAGCACAGCUGACAAUUGAACCAAGCUACUCCAGGGAUAACAGCGCUAUCUUCUUCAAGAGCCCAUAUCAAAAAGAAGGUUUACGACCUCGAUGUUGGAUCAGGACACCCAAAUGGUGCAACCGCUAUUAAAGGUUCGUUUGUUCAACGAUUAAUGUCCUACGUGAUCUGAGUUCAGACCGGAGCAAUCCAGGUCGGUUUCUAUCUAUGCUAUAGCUAUGUUCAGUACGAAAGGACCAAUAUAACAAAGCCAAUACUAAAAGCACGCUUUAACUUUACCACAACUAAACCCAAACAAGGUUAUUAAACACCUUUUA